RNAcentral lists this non-coding RNA (28 nucleotides) under Mus musculus (house mouse). Lineage: Eukaryota; Metazoa; Chordata; Mammalia; Rodentia; Muridae. The record is from RNAcentral.
UNCAUGAUACUAGGUGUGGCAUGGCAGC